AGGGUUCGAUCCUGGCUCAGGAUGAACGCUGGCGGCGUGCUUAACACAUGCAAGUCGAACGAAGCACUUUAAGAAGAAGUCUUCGGACGGAAUCUUUAAGUGACUGAGUGGCGGACGGGUGAGUAACGCGUGGGCAACCUGCCUUAUAUAGGGGGAUAACAGUCAGAAAUGACUGCUAAUACCGCAUAAGACCCCGGUACCGCAUGGUACAGAGGUAAAAGCUAUUGCAGUAUAAGAUGGGCCCGCGUCUGAUUAGCUAGUUGGUGAGGUAACGGCUCUACCAAGGCAACGAUCAGUAGCCGGCUUGAGAGAGUGGACGGCCACAUUGGGACUGAGACACGGCCCAA
This 347-nucleotide ribosomal RNA is filed under the name uncultured bacterium. RNAcentral's name for it is "bacterial SSU rRNA". It matches the Rfam family "Bacterial small subunit ribosomal RNA", at positions 8 to 334 of the family's 1533-position model. The record is from RNAcentral.